Molecule: ribosomal RNA, 609 nt
Filed under: Basidiomycota sp. 1 HFP-2013
Lineage: Eukaryota; Fungi; Basidiomycota
Description: eukaryotic LSU rRNA
Rfam family: Eukaryotic large subunit ribosomal RNA
Source: RNAcentral
GAGAAAAGAAACUAACUAGGAUUCCCUUAGUAACGGCGAGUGAACCGGGAUGAGCUCAAAUUUAAAAUCUGGCGUCUUUCAGGCGUCCGAGUUGUAAUCUAUAGAGGCGUUUUCCGCGCCGGACCGCGUCCAAGUCUCUUGGAAUAGAGUAUCAAAGAGGGUGACAAUCCCGUACUUGACGCGACAACCGGUGCUCUGUGAUACGUUCUCAAUGAGUCGAGUUGUUUGGGAAUGCAGCUCUAAAUGGGUGGUAAAUUCCAUCUAAGGCUAAAUAUUGGCGAGAGACCGAUAGCGAACAAGUACCGUGAGGGAAAGAUGAAAAGCACUUUGGAAAGAGAGUUAAACAGCACGUGAAAUUGUUAAAAGGGAAACGAUUGAAGUCAGUCGUGUGAAAGGUAUUCAGCCGUCUCUGGCGGUGUAUUUGCCUUUCACGGGUCAACAUCAGUUUGAUCCGGUAGAAAAAGGCGGGAGGAAGGUGGCACCCUCGGGUGUGUUAUAGCCUCCUGUCAUAUGUGCCGGACCAGACUGAGGAACGCAGCUUGCCGCAAGGCCAGGGGUCGCCCACGUACAAGCUUAGGAUGUUGACAUAAUGGCUUUAAACGACCCGUC